This 253-nucleotide ribosomal RNA is filed under the name uncultured bacterium. Its description in RNAcentral is "partial 16S ribosomal RNA". It matches the Rfam family "Bacterial small subunit ribosomal RNA", at positions 524 to 776 of the family's 1533-position model. The record is from RNAcentral.
UACGUAGGGUGCGAGCGUUAAUCGGAAUUACUGGGCGUAAGGCGUGCGCAGGCGGCGCGUUAAGACAGGUGUGAAAGCCCCGAGCUUAACUUGGGAAUUGCGCUUGUGACUGGCGUGCUGGAGUGUGGCAGAGGGAGGUGGAAUUCCACGUGUAGCAGUGAAAUGCGUAGAGAUGUGGAGGAACACCGAUGGCGAAGGCAGCCUCCUGGGCCAGCACUGACGCUCAUGCACGAAAGCGUGGGGAGCAAACAGG